ACUAUAGUGCCCCCACCCUCAGGGUCCCCCUCCCGCCCGGCUCUGGAAAGGGGUUAAAACUUACCUUUUUCCGGCACUGGGCGGAGAGCUCUCCUCCUCCGAUCCUCCUCUUCUCCUCCCCGUCAGCUGAAUGCGCACGCGCGGCAAGAGCUGCGCGCGCAUUCAGCCAGUCACAGCGGAAAGCAUUCAUAAUGCUUUCCUAUGGACGCUGGCGUGCUCUCACUGUGAAAAUCACAGUGAGAAGCACGCAAGCGCCUCUAGCGGCUGUCAAUGAGACAGCCACUAGAGGAAAUAGGGGAAGGCUUAACCCAUUCAUAAACAUAGCAGUUUCUCCGAAACUGCUAUGUUUAUGAAAAAAUGGGUUAACCCAACCUGGACCAGGCACCCAGACCACUUCAUUAAGCUGAAGUGGUCUGGGUGCCUAGAGUGGUCCUUUAAUUCUGAAUUGAAUUUACCAAAGCUUUAUUUUAUAACAUAGCAAUUUCCAUACAUUGUUGUAAUUGGCAAAGCUACACAUUUAACAAUAAAGUAGAGCAUCCCACUACCUCACUAUUUACUAUACCAAUAAACAACUAGAAGGGCAUAAACUCUAUAUGCCUCAACUAUUAUGACUAGGAGAUUAGAUGCACCUUCAUGCCUGUCUUGUGAGUGUUGUAACAGUUCUUCCAAUGUGUUUUAGCUAGACCUUACUUCCCCCAAAAAUAGAACAUGAGUGCUCUUCUUAAAAAUUGUGAGCACCGUAUGGAGUGGCAGAUAUAUUCCACACAUUCAUUUCUAUAAACCCAAAUCAUUCCACACACCCCUCCCCUCCCCCAAAUUAAAAAAAAAAUUAUAUAUAUAUAUAUACACACACACUUUUCUAAAGAGUGAUGUUUGUAAAAGAGACUCUAGAAUUUUAAGAAAUGUCUGUUUUUUUCUGAUGUUUAAUCCUGAUGUGAUUUAAUGUCUAGAAAAAAAACACCAGGAUAAAUCACAAAUCAAUUAAACAAAAAUGGACAUUGCAUUUCAUAAAAUUACAAAAAUUAAAAAGAACAAAUAAUUCACAUUCAGGGUAUUUGUAAUGCCAAAUAUUAAAAUAAGAGUAUUUUGUUCAACAAAGCAGAUUGCAUAAAUAAUGAUGUUUUGUUAGGUCAGUGCAUUCUGUCCCUUAAAUGUGGCUAGCUGAGCAUCAUGGUGAAUGUAGUGCACAAACAUUUGCAGCACAUUGGUUAGCCAUCCCUAUUUAGGCACAACAUAAUUAAAUGACACUUCAUGCAUUUUCUGUCCAUCAAAUCCCUAACAAAAAAGGUCUGGAGUCUAUAUCCCCCAACUCUCCUGGAUUCAAUGUGAAAGUCCUGAUAUCACAAAAAAAAUCCCCCAAAAAGCACAGCAUGUUCACAUCAUUAAAUGUGCUCACAAUGUGCAAAAAUAAACUCAGGGCUUUUCUGCUCUGCACACAACCAAUCAUAAGGACCUGUCACUAUGUGCAUUACCUCUAACUCCUUUUACUGUCCUGUCCCUUCCUUGGUCGCUUACAAACCACCUUUAGUUGGAUCGGAAGGGAAUGUAUUUACUGCACACAUUAUUAUGGACUACAACAGCACUUACAUAUAAUGUGUACGUUUGCUGACAUAGUUAUGUUUUAAAUAGGCAUCAUUCAUUUAAUAUUUAUAUAAUUAUAUAUAAAUAAAUAUAUAUAGAUAACUUUGACGAAGCUUAGCUUUGGACACUCUGAAAGAAUAAAAAGACAGCAACAUAAUAGACAUUAAAUUCCAUUGUAAAAUAUUCAGGAGGCCUGUGAGGUCCAAACUUGUUCAGUUUUUGUCUUAUACGCAACAUAGAAUUCUGCAUGUACUAACUUGGAAUCACAGCCAAGUUAUUGCAUAUAUACAGUAUUUUUUGUUAAAAACUGUUCAAAGUUAAACAUGAAUAGCCUGUUCAGAAUCCUCUGGUUGCACAGUAAGUCAUUUUAGUUGAUUCUUUUCACUAAACCGUGAGCUGAGGCUAUUUGUAAAUUUUAGUUACAACUGAAGGACAUAGGUGAAGUGUUUUGUUAGUCACACUAUAUAUAGAUUAAAGGACCACUAUAGUCACCCAGACCACUCCAGCUCAAUGAAGUGGUCUGGGUGCCAGGUCCCCCGGGUUUCAACCCUUCACAUGUAAACAUAGCAGUUUUAGAGAAACUGCUAUGUUUACAUUUCAGGGUUAAUCCAGUAUUCACCCCUUCAGCCCAGCGGGAGGGGGGCCCUAAGGGUGGGGUGGGGUGGGGGGCAACCUAAGGAUUAUAUAGUGUCAGGAAAACAGGUUUGUCAUUUUUUUGUGUGCAAAUUUACACAGUUCAUCCAUCUCCCCAAAAAUACAUUGUAUGCCUACAGUGUUAGUAAAAUGUAAUGACUUUCUUGUCAUUUCAUUAUGUGGCAAAAUGUUAAAAACAGCAAGGUACAUGAAGUUUAUUUAUUAAUAAAUAAAUGACAAUAAUAAAAAAGAAAUUGGGUGGUUUUAAUUUUAAUUUCCAUUGACUCACAUUUAAAAGAGAUACCUUCAUUCAUGAACAAAUGAUGAAUGAAGCCAUGUGCAAGAAGCUACGCCAUAGUAGUUUUCAUGAAUAAAGCUAACUGUGCCCACUGCAUGUUGCACAACCAGUGUCAGUUAGCUUCGUUCAUGAAAAAAAAUAAUAAAACGAUUUGUCUGCUACACCUGUCACCUUGCACAAAUAUCUUACUUUGUGUUCUAAGCUAAUUGUGGGCUUUAUAGGUCUCAGGAAGAUGAUGAUAGCCUAUUAAGUACUACGCAGCUUAUUUACAAAGCAGCCAUAGAAAGCAAUGGGAGCACCAGGAUUGACUGACGGAUUAUUCACUAACGUGAAAAUUCUAAUUAUUGUUUAUUAACACAUUUAGAAAGUGGAGUAAACACCAGAAUAGAGUGUCUUUUUACGGACUUCCUUCCAAGGGCUAAUGCAAAUCUGUUCUAUUCUGACAGUCCUCGCUAUAACUUUGUCACAAAGAUGACUCUGUUACAUGUAAUAUGUCACAUUAUAACACUUCUGUGGCCAGCCUGAUGAAUGUUUUUUUUGGAAAACUAAGCUAUACAUUUCGAGCAGUUUCAAUAGCACAAUAGAUACAUUUAUUUGCAACUUAAAGUAAAAGUUCCAUCAUGCUCUGUAUGUGGAAUCCCUUUAAACCCACAGUAUAGAGUUACUACUAAAGGCUAAUAGUUUUUUGUUAUAAGGGCUAAUCAUUCGUUCUUUUAACUAGACAUUACUCAUUCCCUGAUAAUGUCCCUUUAAAUAUGCAGCUGUUGUCAAUGUAAAAAAUAUAAUAUACGGUAAACCAAGACACAGACCCAGUUCAAAAUGGCCCUUUACCCGUUUUCCCAGACAGCCAUAGGUUCCUGUGUUGUUUGGACUAUAAGUUUAGAUGUCAGAGGCAUAUAAAAGUUACAUUCUGAUGCACAAAAUCAAUUAAUCAUGGAAGGGCUCCAUUAGGAACCUUCAUGAUUAUUGUGUGAUUUCUUAUUUGAACUCCCGUGGCAAUAUAAGAAUUCUAUAUACCUUACAGACAGCACUAUUCAUGUACCUCCCAACAACAUGUGGAACUGGAAGCUGCUUAGAGGAAAAUAUGGCCAAUGACCAUGGUGGCAACUAGUCUAGCCUUGAUAAAAAGCUGCAAUGUCAGAGAUUAUAUAACAUGUUAAAGGGGCCUAUACCAACAUUGUGAGUACCCUUUUGUAUUGAGCAAUAAAUUCACUUUAAAAUAAACAAACAUACAUGUAAAAGGAGAAGCAGAGCCGGUCAGUUAAUUUUUAACGUGUAAAACGUAGUAUUUUUCCAAGGGAAAACCCUCUUUGUACUCAUACGAUGUACCUCCAUGAUAUUAAAUCAUUGUUUACACUUGUUUUGUUCCGUGAGAGCAUGGAUAUUUUAUUCACAUAGGCUACUCCUUAGAUGCAACCUUCCGCCACUGAUAUAAAUUUCCGUAUUUUUCAAUUUAUUCAAUGAGAUGGGAGUACAUUUGUUUUAUCAAUUUUUUUUUUUCCGGUGAGAAUACUAUGAAAUUCCAGCAAGCAACAGCCUACAACAGAGAUAUAUUUUCCUAUUUAGUGAUAAUUCCCCCCUAUAAAAAAAAAAAUAUUAAAAAAAAGCAAAACAAAAAAAUAAACAAAACACACAAACGCCAGCAAAUCCGUGUUUAAUACACCAAGUCUAAUAUUUUUUACAAGGAAAAGUGAAGUCUAGUGGACUGUUUCCUGUAUGCAAUAUAUUCUAUGCAACUCUGUUAUAAUGUUCUCGUCUCUCCUUCUUCCGAUAUAAAAUGAAAAAAAAACGAAACCCCGUAACAAACAGAAAUCCUUUUCGCGCAAAUGAGCAGUUCUUGUUUCAUGUGCAUGUUUAAUAUGACUACCUGGCCAGAUUGAUUCCGUGCUUGCAAACAUAUUACUGGCUGCCUCUGUAUCUAACUCUUUAUUUUUUUAACUGUUUUGUUUUUUUUUCCCUCGAUUAUCAUUGUGAAUGAAAUUGAAGACUGAGUUGAUGAAAAAAAAAAACAAAGAUAAAUUAUAUUAAAGAGUUAAUUUAUUUCCCUUCA
Molecule: long non-coding RNA, 4562 nt
Filed under: Pelobates cultripes (western spadefoot toad)
Lineage: Eukaryota; Metazoa; Chordata; Amphibia; Anura; Pelobatidae
Source: RNAcentral